AUGUAAUGGUAUGAGGUCGCCCCCCUCCCCGCGGACUCCAUACGCCGGGUCCGAGCUAUAAUCAUGGCCGGGAGCUCAGAUGCUGGAUGGCAACAAGUGUCGGUACUGGUUGGCAGCUAGGACUACGUGUAUUGGAGCGACUGGAGCACCGGGGGCAUUGAUCAAGACUGGCCAGAGCCGCAGCCUCGCCAAGGAUGUGCCCUGCAUCCCCCCAGGUACGCCAGACUGCCCGAAUGUGCCGCUGUUGGUGUCCGGCAAGAAUAUCCGUGCCCAGCUUCUUGGGCGAACUUGCAGAAGCCUCGCAUCAUUGCCGUGCAUGCCAUGAAGGCGAGGCGUCUGCUAUUCUGGACAGAUGUCGGCAAUCAUCAGGCCAUCCGGACAGAUAAUUUUAAGUGGCGGGAGUAGUGACAUGAACAACGACUGUAUAUCCGCCUUCUAGCGCUGAGACGAAAGGACUGCCCGGCGGAUUCAGCUGAUAGUCAGCCGAGGGCAGCGACAAGGCUCUGAUCUGCUAUCGUACCACCUGUGACAACAGUCGGCCCGACUGCUGCAAGCGGCCAGGAGAUUUUCAGUGUGCCAUCAACAAGCUUUGCAUAUCGGCCGCCCUGCUCUGCGAUGGCUGGGAACUCUGCCGAUGCAUGGCGGCGCAUGGCCUAAAGAAUCGAGCUCUACUGGCUCCAUCGAAGAAAAUAAAUAAAACAGUAAGCAGGAAGCACGCCGUCAAGCACACCCUUUUAAAGACUUUAAAAAUACAGUAGAGAAUCUGCAGGAUAUUUCAUUUGAGGUGCAACGCGACCAAGCAGCGGAUGAAGAUGGAGCGAAAAGGCUCUGGACGAGUGUGCCAGGUUUUUAGCGGAGUAUAGUCCGGUCAAACAGUCCAAGAGCUCGAGAGGCAUCGGGAGCCAGCUUGCCUACUUGCCUACUUGCAUACCCAGCCGCGAGGAAACUAAGGAGCUGAGUUAAACCAGCUGAGCCAACGCUUUCAGCAAGAACGAGGUGCGAGUGGCCCAGAUCUUGUGGGACCGGAAAGCCUGUUUCCAGCUAAUGAAAUGAAACAAGAAACACGUAUUUAAGGAUAUAUUAGUUUUGUGGUGGAUGUGCAUGUGUGCAACACCAAAAGGAGGCGGCUUCUGACCCCAUAAAGUGAAUAGAGGAUAAACGGAGAGCAACAAUUAACAUGAAAUCAUAACUAGUGGUCGUGGUUCCUCUCUAUUUGUCUCUCUAGAGAGAGAGAGAGAGAGAGAAUACUGCAGUCAUCAGCUCCGAUACCAACUCUGUGGCUUACGUAUAAUUAGGUAUGAAAUAUUUAUAUUUUGUAAGUUGUAUAAAUCAUAAGGCUCUCCCAUAAUAUGUACUGACUUAGUGGCCAAAUACUGCUUAUAGCAAUUUCUGUACGGUUGUGCUGUCUGUGAUUAGAUUUACUUUACUUAGUUCAGCUUUUCGUGACAAAGCACCUGCGAAAAACUAGCACAACGAAUUCAGUAAUGUCCUUCGCUGCGACGAAUCUCGUGACGGUCGUCCUACAAUGGUUGUCGUACCGAAAAAGAUUCGGUGGGGUGUUGGCUAUUGCAAGAUUUUAGGGGAUUAACCAGGUACCAGGAUACAUUCAAUUCUGCAUGAACAUUUGGCCAUCAAAAAUAAUUGUUCUUGUGGGAUACUUCAUAAUUCACAAUCGCCCAAAAAAAAGCUCUUGUCAAUUGAUGCUAAGAUGUGAUAUCCAAAUGCAGUCGUGGUCACUAAUCAUGGAUAAAAGAAUAUGAGCCCGACACCCAACAGCAAUUGAUGUUAUGGGUGUUUUAAAACGAUGCAAAUGCUAAACCAAAUGUUAAAAAGGAGGGAGAUCAUUCUGACAUUUUGAGAGCCAGAAGGGGUGCGAAAGUAGGUUAAAACGUUAAAAAAUGGAUAAUCAUCGUCCAGACGAAUAUGUUUAGAAACAAUAAAACUGUAUUUUUAAAGC
Molecule: long non-coding RNA, 1957 nt
Organism: Drosophila miranda
Lineage: Eukaryota; Metazoa; Arthropoda; Insecta; Diptera; Drosophilidae
Exons: 5
Source: RefSeq, a predicted model, not a curated record